This 79-nucleotide small RNA is filed under the name Sinorhizobium medicae. RNAcentral describes it as "suhB". The stretch from base 1 to 70 matches the Rfam family "Alphaproteobacterial ar15", at positions 44 to 112 of the family's 112-position model. Lineage: Bacteria; Pseudomonadati; Pseudomonadota; Alphaproteobacteria; Hyphomicrobiales; Rhizobiaceae. The record is from RNAcentral. RNAcentral also lists the same sequence under 1 other name.
AGCUGUUCCCCUCUGGAGGUUUGAAACCUUCACAACUGAAAGGGCCCAAGUUUUCUUGUGGCCCUCUUUUUUUGCACGU